UGGCAACAGCCAAAACUCAUACACCACAGAUCCCGCCACAUCUAAAACUGGUGGCACUACACCUUGCACUAAACCUCAUCAAGAAGCUUGCAGGGAUGACCAUGCACGUACUACUACUUGCUCAGAUCAUAUACCCCCUC
Setaria italica (foxtail millet) is the source of this 140-nucleotide long non-coding RNA. RefSeq lists it as uncharacterized. NCBI's taxonomy places the organism in Eukaryota, Viridiplantae, Streptophyta, Magnoliopsida, Poales, Poaceae. The record is from RefSeq and is a predicted model, not a curated record. The transcript is spliced from 3 exons.